UACAGAGGUGGCAAGCGUUGUUCGGAAUUACUGGGCGUAAAGGGCGCGUAGGCGGUCUUGUCAGUCCCUUGUGAAAUCCCCCGGCUCAACUGGGGAACUGCACGGGAAACAGCAGGGCUUGAGUUCGGGAGAGGGAAGCGGAAUUCCGGGUGUAGCGGUGAAAUGCGUAGAUAUCCGGAGGAACACCGGUGGCGAAGGCGGCUUCCUGGACCGAUACUGACGCUGAGGCGCGAAAGCUAGGGGAGCAAACAGG
Molecule: ribosomal RNA, 253 nt
Filed under: uncultured bacterium
Lineage: Bacteria
Description: partial 16S ribosomal RNA
Rfam family: Bacterial small subunit ribosomal RNA
Source: RNAcentral